RNAcentral lists this ribosomal RNA (422 nucleotides) under uncultured bacterium. RNAcentral describes it as "bacterial SSU rRNA". It matches the Rfam family "Bacterial small subunit ribosomal RNA", at positions 355 to 774 of the family's 1533-position model. The record is from RNAcentral.
UAGGGAAUAUUGGGCAAUGGACGGAAGUCUGACCCAGCCAUGCCGCGUGCAGGAAGAAGGCGCUCAGCGUUGUAAACUGCUUUUAUCGGGGAAGAACGGCAGUCCUGCGGGAUUGUGUGACGGUACUCGAGGAAUAAGCACCGGCUAACUCCGUGCCAGCAGCCGCGGUAAUACGGAGGGUGCGAGCGUUGUCCGGAUUUAUUGGUUUUAAAGGGUGCGUAGGUGGUUGAGUAAGUCUGGUUUGAAAGUCAGUCGCUUAACGAUUGGGGGUGGCUAGAUACUGCUGAGAUUGAAUGCCAUGGAGGUAGAUGGAACGGGUUGUGUAGCAGUGGAAUGCAUAGAUAUGACAAAGAACCCCACUUGCGAAGGCGGCCUACUACGGAGUGAUUGACACUGAGGAACGAGAGCAUGGGGGGCAAGCA